UACAGAGGGUGCGAGCGUUGUCCGGAAUCACUGGGCGUAAAGGGCGCGUAGGCGGCGCGGUAAGCGUGCGGUGAAAGCCCGGGGCUCAACCCCGGGUCGGCCGUGCGGACUGCCGGGCUGGAGCACUGUAGAGGCAGGUGGAAUUCCGGGUGUAGCGGUGGAAUGCGUAGAGAUCCGGAAGAACACCGGUGGCGAAGGCGGCCUGCUGGGCAGUAGCUGACGCUGAAGCGCGACAGCGUGGGGAGCAAACAGGAUUAGAUACCCGUAG
Molecule: ribosomal RNA, 268 nt
Filed under: uncultured bacterium
Lineage: Bacteria
Description: partial 16S ribosomal RNA
Rfam family: Bacterial small subunit ribosomal RNA
Source: RNAcentral